This 95-nucleotide transfer RNA is filed under the name Nonomuraea cavernae. RNAcentral describes it as "tRNA-Val". The record is from RNAcentral. Lineage: Bacteria; Bacillati; Actinomycetota; Actinomycetes; Streptosporangiales; Streptosporangiaceae.
CCGCUGGGCUGGGCGAUGGCCGCGGGCGCCGCGCUGCUGACGCCGGUGCUCUGCGACGCGGCGCGGGCCCUGCUCCGGCUCGGCGCGGGGCGGGC